CCUACGGGAGGCUGCAGUGAGGAAUAUUGGUCAAUGGACGCAAGUCUGAACCAGCCAAGUCGCGUGAAGGAUGACUGCCCUAUGGGUUGUAAACUUCUUUUAUAAAGGAAUAAAACGAGGCACGUGUGCCUUUUUGCAUGUACUUUAUGAAUAAGGAUCGGCUAACUCCGUGCCAGCAGCCGCGGUAAUACGGAGGAUCCGAGCGUUAUCCGGAUUUAUUGGGUUUAAAGGGAGCGUAGAUGGGUUGUUAAGUCAGUUGUGAAAGUUUGCGGCUCAACCGUAAAAUUGCAAUUGAUACUGGCAGUCUUGAGUACAGUUGAGGUAGGCGGAAUUCGUGGUGUAGCGGUGAAAUGCUUAGAUAUCACGAAGAACCCCGAUUGCGAAGGCAGCUUACUAAACUGUGACUGACAUUGAUGCUCGAAAGUGUGGGGAUCAAACAGGAUUAGAUACCCGAGUAGUC
This 460-nucleotide ribosomal RNA is filed under the name uncultured bacterium. RNAcentral's name for it is "partial 16S ribosomal RNA". It matches the Rfam family "Bacterial small subunit ribosomal RNA", at positions 338 to 795 of the family's 1533-position model. The record is from RNAcentral.